AGAGCUCCGCACCCGCGGAGCCCCGGCGGGGCGGGCGGAGCCGCAGCCCCGGGACCCCCGACCCGCUCCCGAGUUCCAAAAUGACCUUUCCCUGCAUCGUUUUGGAGGUAACCGAGCUGCCUAAUUAUAUUUGCACUUCCAGAAGACUGCAUCAGAGUCCCCUUAUUGGUUUGAAAUUCCAUUAAAUAUAUUGCAAGAGCUCCUAGGUUAAGCUUGAUUUAAAUUUGCAUACAUUUUCAUAUAUUUAGCAGAAAUAAAAGAAGGCUUGCAGCUACCAGAAAGUCAUUAAGGCAUUAGUUUCUCUGAGAAGACAGAUCUGAAGAAAAUUCAAGAAAAUGAGAAAAUAGAUCUAAAUAAGGUGGAGUUGAAUACAUUGGUUAACUGCAAGCAGUAUGUUCUGAAGAUGAUGGUGUUCAGACAAAUACCCAAUUUGAUUCUGAUAAAUUGGAUGCAAGACUUUGACCAGCGUGAGAAGAACAGGCUUCAGUCUGCACGAGGGACAUUAUUAAAAAUCCUGGACGAGCCCAGGGACACUGGAGGAGCCCCACGUUGUGGCUGUGAUUGCAGUCAGGUCACUCUGGCAGCUGACUGGAAUCUCUGGAUGUGAGACAUUCCCUCACCGAUUCUGCAGGGAAAUAAUUUGCACCCUCGGUGAUGUUGUUGAUCUUGAAUGAUCUGAGGCAUUAUGGAAGCAGGCAGCAUCCCAGACCUGUGGAGAAGCUCAGCAGGAGAACAAGUGGGGGAAAAUAUUCCCAAUGUCAUGCUGCUGCUGGUGGCUCAGGCACAGGAACAGGGGCCUGUGGUGGUCCAGCUCUUUGGAAAGUUUUGUACAGAAACCAGGAGGAUCUAAGAGCUGGAGCUAAUCCGUGAGAAAACAGCACCACCAGCAACAACAAUUUGCUCUAGACCAGAAAGAAGGUGGAAGAGGUGGGACUAAGAAGGACUUUCUCUUUCAAAAGAAGAAAUGUUGCUUUCCAGGCACCUGUAUGCUGAAAUUGAUUGAAAUGCAGCUUUCAUGCGGCCUGAUAACUGUUCCUCACUGGAGGAAGAACCUUGGAUAAAUGGAAUUUGCUCUGCCUUGCUCAGUGAGGCCACCUCAGAGCGCUGGUGCUUGUGUGAAUUGAAGAAAUAUUUGGAAACUGAGGUGGUUGUUACCUUUCUGUGCCUGGGUGUUCAAAGAGUGUUUCUGGCCAACACCUAAAAUUCAGUUUCCAAGGCCGGAGGCAGCAAAAGAUUUCAAAUCUGUGCCUCCGCCGGUUUUGACACCGUGCAAUGAAGCAUCCGAGCUCUCAGAUGUCUGGCUCUUCCGAGUUGUGAAAUGAGAAAACAAACAAACCCAACCAUUCCAGCCCUGUCAAUCUCCUUCUCAGUGGACAGAUGCCCUGGUGCCAGAAAAUCUUCAUCCCAUGAUCCCACACCUCUUGGCAGUGCCAAAAAAGCAAAAAAAAAAGCCAGAGAUCUACUGGAUGCAAAAGCGUGACGGUUCCUCACCUCAAAAAAGGGGAUUUGUGGCCACACUGGAGCUCCUGGGCUAAGAAUUUGCCAAGGGCAUCAACAGCAGUUUUCCCAGGCUCCAGCACAAGGAUUAUGUAGUCAAUCCACAAAUGACUCAAAUCUUUGAAGAAAAGGGCAUGGUUAUCAGAGAGGCUUUGAGGACAGCAAGGACGGGAGCGCUAUCUGCCUUUUUCCAUCAGAGAUUCCCAUUCCCUCUCAUUAACAUCCUCAGGACAUCAGCACAGCCAGCGGCCCCAGGGAAUCGCUUCCAACUUUUAAGGGGAUGUGCACAAGGCCUCGCCCCUGCGUUGUUUCAGACAGAUCAAACCAGAUUUGCCUCGUGGAAGGGUUCUUCAAUCCCACUGAGGAUGUGAUGUGAACGCACACACACUUGGUGUGGGGAAAGGAGAUGCCUCUACCUGCUCACUCCCAGUGCCCUGUAAUGAAAAAUGCUUUUGGAGCAACACUGGAAAUAAGCCAUCAAAAUAUCUGAUUAAACCUCUUAAGAAACUCUCACUAAUCACCUUCUCUGCUCUUGAUGGAAUGUAUUUAUGCAUUAUAAAUAUACUUACUGUGUGUGUGUGUGCUCCAUAAAUCACACCCAGCACUUGUAUAUGAUGUAUAAGCACAUUCUAUAGAACACACACAAAUACAGAUGCCAGGCUCCCACAGAGUUCAUCACUGGAAAAUGUUUGAAGGAUCUGAUCCUUAAUAUUUAAUGAGAAAGAUGCUAUUUCCUUCCUCAGCUUUUAUCUCUGGUUUGGCACAGUCAUUAAAUUUGUUGUUUCCUUGCAAGAUUAUAUAAUUUAUGACCUAAUUUUAGACUUUUGUGUAAUGGCGUUGAAACACUCGUGGCAUAUCCUGAUUUCUUCACACGGAGUGUUCCAGCCUCAGCCACCAGCUCCAGCACGACUUCUGUGAGCUGCCUGUCAGGCAGGAGUCGCAGGCAUGAAAGAAAAACAGCCCAACAAUAUUCAGGCAGCAUUAGAAGAUUAGUUUGUGGGGGGUUUGCCCUGCAAAAAAUAUGAUUUAGCAGCAUUUCCAAAGCCUUCUGCAGUGCUGGCAGGAAUCCCCAGGUAAGACAGGCAGCACCCAGCAACUUUAUUGCCGAAAAUAUUUUCAUGCUUCUGACUUUCAGACUCCUCUGGGACAGCAGUGCAGGAGGGAUGUCUAGAGGUGCUUUAAAGCCACUGCCAGCCCCUCACCCUCUGGAAUUUCCUCCCAGCACCAGCCUGGCUGCUGGGCUGAUUUUUUGCUGCACAAGGUGUUGCUGGAUAACUCCAAAAGGAAUUAUUCUAAAGCUGCAGCCACUUUAUUUUUUUGGUGUUUGCUGUGUGUCCAGAGUAAUUCAGAGAUGCUGCAAAUAGUGCCAUGAACUUCAGGUAUUCUGUCAAUUUUACCCAUAUUGUUGGGACCAGUCUUUCAUAAAAUUUAAUAUAUUAGCUGUUGCAUUAAUGCACUUUGAGAGGAUUUUAUCCUGGUGUUCCAUAGGGAAGUGGCUUGUGGUUGAGGAAGGAUUUGAUGUUUCCUUUGUGCCUGCAGUGCUAUUUGGAGGAGUUUUCCUCUUUUUCCACCUUAUCCUGAAUAUCCAACAGGGAUGGCAGAGCUGGGAUGCUGCAUCCUCAGAUCAGCACAGGAACACAAGGGACACCCCUCUACCACAACAACUUCAUGUACAGGGUGAGGGGGUGCCUACAUGAAAGAAAAAGCAUCCUCAUGAAAAGGGGACAUUCAUUCUUGGAUUAAAUAAAUUGGAGAGUUUUUCUCCUUGGUUUUAAUGGAACAGUUCCAGGAAAGAAGCAGAGAACAAAGUGUUUUCAGAAUCACAUAAUUCAAGAGUAAAAUCAUAAUUCCAAUUACCAUUGCAGGCACUUCUGGCCUUGGGAAACCUAUGCUAAUAUUUAUUAUUAUGUGAUUGACCUCUGAUUUCUUCAUCAUUUACAUUAGCAACCCUGAUAUUCUUAGUAACAUCCUUUAAAUCAUAGAAACAGGUGGCAACAGUGCACGAUGAAGUCACAUCCUGCAGAUUUUUUAUUUACUUAGUCCAUUUUUUCCUGGUUAAAUAACAUUGUGAGAUGCAGAAUCUCACCUCCACAAAGUCUCUAGGGGUGUGUAUAAUCGUGGAAUGCAUCUUCUAUAAUCUCACAAAAUCAGUCAAUCCUAUCAGAAGUACAAAGAGUUUUACAAAGUCAGUAUUUCACUGCCAUCACUGCCUGACAUUGUUUUCCACACAGUACAAGAAAAUAUUUACUUGACUCUUUGACAUGAAUUGCCACAAAGCCUUUGGAACGAAAAUGAAAUAGUGAGAAUUAAAAUGGAAUAACUUGACUU
This is a long non-coding RNA of Taeniopygia guttata (zebra finch), 3825 nucleotides long. Lineage: Eukaryota; Metazoa; Chordata; Aves; Passeriformes; Estrildidae. The record is from Ensembl.